GGAAUAUUGGGCAAUGGGCGCAAGCCUGACCCAGCAACGCCGCGUGAGUGAAGAAGGCCUUUGGGUUGUAAAACUCUGUUCUAUGGGAAGAAGGAAGUGACGGUACCAUAGGAGAAAGCUCCGGCUAACUACGUGCCAGCAGCCGCGGUAAUACGUAGGGAGCAAGCGUUGUCCGGAAUUACUGGGCGUAAAGGGUGCGUAGGCGGCAGCUUAAGUCAGAUGUGAAAUGCCGGGGCUCAACUCCGGAGCUGCAUCUGAUACUGGGCCGCUAGAGUGCAGGAGAGGAAAGUGGAAUUCCUAGUGUAGCGGUGGAAUGCGUAGAUAUUAGGAGGAACACCAGUGGCGAAGGCGACUUUCUGGACUGUAACUGACGCUGAGGCACGAAAGUAUGGGGAGCAAACA
RNAcentral lists this ribosomal RNA (402 nucleotides) under uncultured bacterium. Its description in RNAcentral is "bacterial SSU rRNA". It matches the Rfam family "Bacterial small subunit ribosomal RNA", at positions 358 to 774 of the family's 1533-position model. The record is from RNAcentral.